RNAcentral lists this long non-coding RNA (732 nucleotides) under Salvator merianae (Argentine black and white tegu). RNAcentral describes it as "lncRNA (ENSSMRG00000020953.1)". The record is from RNAcentral. Lineage: Eukaryota; Metazoa; Chordata; Lepidosauria; Squamata; Teiidae.
CUCAUCCCAGAGCAGAACUGUGCUGAGGGCUCAAAAAAGGGCUUUNAUCCUAUCACUUGCCUCAGUCUCAAACUAGUCAUCUUCUGCAAACACCUGUGGCUUGGCUUCUAUCAGAUCUUGACCUCCACCAAAGGAAUCACAAGUGAAGAGUUUGUGCUGAAAUAAGACAAUUUGAAAAUAUAUUGAUAAUUCUCUUUUAAAGCUUUUGAGAAUUAAUCCUGGAACUGGGUUGGCAUUGGAGCACUUGAGCAUUCUAGAUGACUAGAGAAGAUGACAUCAAAGGAAACAGGCAGACAUUUCCACGCUUGAUUUCUGAAGACUGGCAAGGUGCAGCAUUGCAUCUCACAAUCUGCANUGCAGAGCUUUGUCAACUGCCUAGGGUUGUGUUGACCACAUACAACAAGACAUUCUCUAAUGAUCACUCCUCUUGAAGGUAGGGAAAGUCCAAGAGCCUUUUGUGUGAGGAUGUUGACAGAUUCAUGAUUUGCUUAAUUAGACCCCUUUGUGUCACCAGUGUAGUGCCCUUGAAAGCCCUUAUAUCUCAUGCCCUCCAUUUCAUUUCUGCUUCUUUAUGGGCACAUGAAGAUGUACAUGCAAAUUAAAGCCCGCUGUUGUUUUUUUCUUUUCUCUUACUGGCCAAGCUCAGAUUCUUUAAUCACCCCCAGGCAAUCAACCUGAUUGAUGCACUUGUCAGUGAAUAAAAUAUCAAGUCUCUUCUGCUUUUGCUGUUUU